Molecule: non-coding RNA, 20 nt
Filed under: Rattus norvegicus (Norway rat)
Lineage: Eukaryota; Metazoa; Chordata; Mammalia; Rodentia; Muridae
Source: RNAcentral
UAGCUGCGUGCACACGCCCU